RNAcentral lists this ribosomal RNA (471 nucleotides) under Treponema sp. canine oral taxon 207. RNAcentral describes it as "bacterial SSU rRNA". It matches the Rfam family "Bacterial small subunit ribosomal RNA", at positions 9 to 467 of the family's 1533-position model. The record is from RNAcentral. Lineage: Bacteria; Pseudomonadati; Spirochaetota; Spirochaetia; Treponematales; Treponemataceae.
GAGUUUGAUUAUGGCUCAGAACGAACGCUGGCGGCGCGUCUUAAGCAUGCAAGUCGAACGGUAAGGGAGAGCUUGCUCUCCCCUAGAGUGGCGGACUGGUGAGUAACGCGUAGGUGACCUACCCUGAAGAUGGGGAUAGCUAGUAGAAAUAUUAGAUAAUACCGAAUAAGCUCAUUUGCAUAAAGGCAGAUGAGGAAAGGAGCUACGGCUCCGCUUUAGGAUGGGCCUGCGUCCCAUUAGCUAAGUUGGUGAGGUAAAGGCUUACCAAGGCAACGAUGGGUAUCCGGCCUGAGAGGGUGAACGGACACAUUGGGACUGAGAUACGGCCCAAACUCCUACGGGAGGCAGCAGCUAAGAAUCUUCCGCAAUGGACGAAAGUCUGACGGAGCGACGCCGUGUGAAUGAAGAAGGCUGAAAAGUUGUAAAAUUCUUUUGCAGAUGAAGAAUAAGGAUAGGAGGGAAUGCCUAUCU